RNAcentral lists this ribosomal RNA (449 nucleotides) under uncultured Desulfobulbus sp. RNAcentral describes it as "bacterial SSU rRNA". It matches the Rfam family "Bacterial small subunit ribosomal RNA", at positions 933 to 1382 of the family's 1533-position model. The record is from RNAcentral. Lineage: Bacteria; Pseudomonadati; Thermodesulfobacteriota; Desulfobulbia; Desulfobulbales; Desulfobulbaceae.
UGGAGCAUGUGGUUUAAUUCGAAGCAACGCGAAGAACCUUACCAGGCCUUGACAUGCAGAGAACUUUCCAGAGAUGGAUUGGUGCCUUCGGGAACUCUGACACAGGUGCUGCAUGGCUGUCGUCAGCUCGUGUCGUGAGAUGUUGGGUUAAGUCCCGCAACGAGCGCAACCCUUGCCUUUAGUUGCCAGCAGUUCGGCUGGGCACUCUAAAGGGACUGCCGGUGUUAAACCGGAGGAAGGUGGGGAUGACGUCAAGUCCUCAUGGCCUUUAUGACCAGGGCUACACACGUACUACAAUGGCCGAUACAAAGGGCAGCGACACUGCGAGGUGAAGCCAAUCCCGUAAAAUCGGUCUCAGUCCGGAUUGGAGUCUGCAACUCGACUCCAUGAAGUUGGAAUCGCUAGUAAUCGUGGAUCAGCAUGCCACGGUGAAUACGUUCCCGGGCCUU